This 255-nucleotide ribosomal RNA is filed under the name uncultured bacterium. RNAcentral's name for it is "partial 16S ribosomal RNA". It matches the Rfam family "Bacterial small subunit ribosomal RNA", at positions 524 to 776 of the family's 1533-position model. The record is from RNAcentral.
UACGUAGGGUGCAAGCGUUAAUCGGAAUUACUGGGCGUAAAGCGUGCGCAGGCGGCUAUGCAAGACAGAUGUGAAAUCCCCGGGCUCAACCUGGGAACUGCAUUUGUGACUGCAUAGCUAGAGUACAGGUAGAGGGGGAUGGAAUUCCGCGUGUAGCAGUGAAAUGCGUAGAUAUGCGGAGGAACACCGAUGGCGAAGGCAAUCCCCUGGACCUGUACUGACGCUCAUGCACGAAAAGCGUGGGGAGCAAACAGG